ACCUGUAUGCCAUAGCAGUGUCUCCACACUCUUUGAUUAAGAGGACAACUAACCCAUAUAACCUACAGUGACCUAUGCUCGAUAGAAGCUGUCGUCCUUAUCAACAGCCUAUCAUUUGAUCGUGAACAAUUUUAAGGACUACUCGAUAAAUCCUCUCUUUAUCGAAUCUAAAUAGUCUUAAGGAUUUCAUCACAACAAUAGAGUGCAUUAGAAG
Molecule: long non-coding RNA, 214 nt
Filed under: Elaeis guineensis (African oil palm)
Lineage: Eukaryota; Viridiplantae; Streptophyta; Magnoliopsida; Arecales; Arecaceae
Description: long non-coding RNA (EGUI_LNC076088)
Source: RNAcentral